UGUGGGAGCGAGCUUGCUCGCGAAGGCGUCGGGUCAGCGUGUAUCAAUGUUGAAUGUCGGACCGCUAUCGCGAGCAAGCUCGCUCCCACA
This 90-nucleotide unclassified non-coding RNA is filed under the name Pseudomonas thivervalensis. The record is from RNAcentral. Lineage: Bacteria; Pseudomonadati; Pseudomonadota; Gammaproteobacteria; Pseudomonadales; Pseudomonadaceae.